RNAcentral lists this transfer RNA (84 nucleotides) under Siccirubricoccus deserti. Its description in RNAcentral is "tRNA-Asp". Lineage: Bacteria; Pseudomonadati; Pseudomonadota; Alphaproteobacteria; Acetobacterales; Roseomonadaceae. The record is from RNAcentral.
CGCGCCGCGGCGGGGCGGCCCAUCACCGUCGGCGUCAUCGGCGCCGGGAAAUUCGGUUCCAUGUUCCUCGCCAUGGCGGCGCGC